GCGGGCGUAGUUCAGGGGUAGAACGUCUGCUUGCCAAGCAGAAGGUCGUGGGUUCAAAUCCCAUCGUCCGCUCCA
RNAcentral lists this transfer RNA (75 nucleotides) under bacterium. RNAcentral's name for it is "tRNA-Gly". It matches the Rfam family "tRNA". From Rfam's summary of the family: Transfer RNA (tRNA) molecules are approximately 80 nucleotides in length. Their secondary structure includes four short double-helical elements and three loops (D, anti-codon, and T loops). RNAcentral also lists the same sequence under 4 other names. The record is from RNAcentral.